UGAGGUAUGGUUCAGUGGUAGAGCUCUCGCCUGGUAUGUGUGAGUCUCUGGGUUCAAUUCUCAACACUUCAA
This 72-nucleotide transfer RNA is filed under the name Marmota monax (woodchuck). It matches the Rfam family "tRNA". From Rfam's summary of the family: Transfer RNA (tRNA) molecules are approximately 80 nucleotides in length. Their secondary structure includes four short double-helical elements and three loops (D, anti-codon, and T loops). Further hydrogen bonds mediate the characteristic L-shaped molecular structure. tRNAs have two regions of fundamental functional importance: the anti-codon, which is responsible for specific mRNA codon recognition, and the 3' end, to which the tRNAs corresponding amino acid is attached (by aminoacyl-tRNA synthetases). tRNAs cope with the degeneracy of the genetic code in two manners: having more than one tRNA (with a specific anti-codon) for a particular amino acid; and 'wobble' base-pairing, i.e. permitting non-standard base-pairing at the 3rd anti-codon position. Lineage: Eukaryota; Metazoa; Chordata; Mammalia; Rodentia; Sciuridae. The record is from Rfam by way of RNAcentral.